RNAcentral lists this ribosomal RNA (253 nucleotides) under uncultured bacterium. RNAcentral's name for it is "partial 16S ribosomal RNA". It matches the Rfam family "Bacterial small subunit ribosomal RNA", at positions 524 to 776 of the family's 1533-position model. The record is from RNAcentral.
UACGAAGGGGGCUAGCGUUGCUCGGAAUUACUGAGCGUAAAGCGCACGUGGGCGGAUCUUUAAGUCAGAGGUGAAAUCCCAAGGCUCAACCUUGGAACUGCCUUUGAUACUGGGGAUCUUGAGUCCGGGAGAGGUGAGUGGAACUGCGAGUGUAGAGGUGAAAUUCGUAGAUAUUCGCAAGAACACCAGUGGCGAAGGCGGCUCACUGGCCCGGUACUGACGCUGAGGUGCGAAAGCGUGGGGAGCAAACAGG